Molecule: unclassified non-coding RNA, 281 nt
Filed under: plant metagenome
Description: partial contains small subunit ribosomal RNA and internal transcribed spacer 1
Rfam family: Eukaryotic small subunit ribosomal RNA (bases 1-47)
Source: RNAcentral
AAAGUCGUAACAAGGUUUCCGUAGGUGAACCUGCGGAAGGAUCAUUAUAGUACAACGGAGGGCACCCUGGGCUGUCGCUAACCUUUGAGAAAAGGACGUGCACGCUCGGAGCGCUCUCUCACAUCCAUCUCACACCCUUUUGUGCAUCACCGCGUGGGGGCCCUCCUCUUUCGUCGUUGUUUCCGGAUGGGCGGGGGGUUUGCAUCGUUUUUAUUACGAACAACCCAUUAAUGCAUGUGUAGAAUGUCUUACUUUUUGCGGUCAUCACACAAUCAAUACAA